This 63-nucleotide transfer RNA is filed under the name Heterocephalus glaber (naked mole-rat). It matches the Rfam family "tRNA". From Rfam's summary of the family: Transfer RNA (tRNA) molecules are approximately 80 nucleotides in length. Their secondary structure includes four short double-helical elements and three loops (D, anti-codon, and T loops). Lineage: Eukaryota; Metazoa; Chordata; Mammalia; Rodentia; Bathyergidae. The record is from Rfam by way of RNAcentral.
GGGGAUUUAGCUUAGUGGUUCAGGCACCUGCCUUGUAAGUGCAGGUCUCGAGUUCAAUCCCCA